AGAAAAACAAAUAACUGUACAUAAUGCAUGGCUUCGAAUCAGUGCCACUUAAAGUAAAAAUAUGUCACGCAGACCGUCGUGAAGGGUCUACACGCAAGGGCAUUCCGUGACAGAAAUUCUGCAUCCGAGUCCCACCGGCUCAGCAACUGCCUGUUGGACCCCUGGCUUUCCUCUCCUCUCUGCCACCCUCCUUCCUGCCUGUCGGUGCUGUGCGUGACAGUAGCUCACUGAGAAGUGGAAAUUAGACUAGUAAACAAUGAUUAGCUCCAGGGCUGGGGCAGCCUGGUCUACCGUGGGUCCUGUCUCCACGCGCCUGCCGCCAGAGCAUUAUAUGCAACAUGAAGCGCUCCAAGCCCCUUCCCAUCCCCAGGCCCUUCCCACCACUCUUCUCCCCACCCCAGCAGAGUCAGCUUGGGGUCAGGGACAAACUUUCACAGCCAGGUUACAGGAGAUAAUCACAGGCAAACACGGCAGCCACACGCAAAAAGAACACACAUGAGCCCCAGCCUGCUGUAACCCUGGCUCUAAUUAGAGGUGAUGGGGAUGCGAGUGGCCACAUGUGUAUGAAGGAGAGCAGG
Molecule: long non-coding RNA, 578 nt
Organism: Oncorhynchus tshawytscha (Chinook salmon)
Lineage: Eukaryota; Metazoa; Chordata; Actinopteri; Salmoniformes; Salmonidae
Source: Ensembl